GAGUUUGAUCAUGGUUCAGAUUGAACGCUGGCGGCAUGCCUUACACAUGCAAGUCGAACGGCAGCACGGGAGCUUGCUCCUGGUGGCGAGUGGCGAACGGGUGAGUAAUGCAUCGGAACGUAUCCUGGAGUGGGGGAUAACGUAGCGAAAGUUACGCUAAUACCGCAUAUUCUGUGAGCAGGAAAGCGGGGGACCUUCGGGCCUCGCGCUCUUGGAGCGGCCGAUGUCGGAUUAGCUAGUUGGUGAGGUAAAGGCUCACCAAGGCGACGAUCCGUAGCAGGUCUGAGAGGAUGAUCUGCCACACUGGAACUGAGACACGGUCCAGACUCCUACGGGAGGCAGCAGUGGGGAAUUUUGGACAAUGGGGGCAACCCUGAUCCAGCCAUGCCGCGUGAGUGAAGAAGGCCUCGG
RNAcentral lists this ribosomal RNA (411 nucleotides) under bacterium enrichment culture clone ALO1_GLFRUDD03FVC3I. RNAcentral's name for it is "bacterial SSU rRNA". It matches the Rfam family "Bacterial small subunit ribosomal RNA", at positions 9 to 420 of the family's 1533-position model. The record is from RNAcentral.